RNAcentral lists this long non-coding RNA (2475 nucleotides) under Homo sapiens (human). Its description in RNAcentral is "HSALNT0329494". The record is from RNAcentral. Lineage: Eukaryota; Metazoa; Chordata; Mammalia; Primates; Hominidae.
CAGUAGUCCCUUUGGAAAUAUUUACAGGGUAUGAUAACCAGGACUGAUGGUGUGGACGAGUUCAGAUCCUUCCACGCCAAGCCCUGGGACAGCAGGCAGGACCCUAGGAAUACUGACCAGGGUCACCAUCACCUCACAGGCACAGGGACACUCCCUGGCCAGGCCCUCCUGUGCAGGAAGCCAAAUCCUGUGGCUGUAACACGAUCCUUUGCCUUUCCGGCCAUGUCCACGUUAGGACUGCUGGUGUCCCGGCCUCAGGAGCAAUGAUUCAUUUCUGCCACUGGCUCAAACUUAGGACACACUGCAAACUAAGCUUGAACCAGUAAAGGGCAUAUGGGCUGCUCAUGGCGAGGCCAUGCACUCAGAGCUCAACUGCAGGUGGCUGGGGUACAAGCAGGAUGGGAUGCGACCUCCUCCAGCUAGAGGGAAGCUCCUUGAAGUAGGGAGGGUCCUGCCAAUAUAUGGUUGGGGGUCACUGAGGUGGGGGGAGCAACAGAGGGAUUUGCUUGCCUGCUUGUUCACUUAGGAGCCCUGCUGGUCUCCUGGGGACACGUGCUAGGGGAGAAAUGCACAAAAGACAGAACCUGAGACAUCCUUAGCCAGGGAGGGAGAACAAGGAGAGGAUCCGAGCUGGGUGGGAAAGGGUAGAGAACAGGGCUAUCGAAGAGGGACAGAAGUGGGUUGGUAAGUCACAGGAAGAGCCUGUAAGAUGUUGGGGCCCCUGGCAGGAGCCCUCACACAGUGGCGGGAAGGAGGCAGAGGCCUGUCUGCACUGAGGACUGGGGCAGGAAGCUGAGGCUGGCAGGAUGGCACUUAGCUAUGGGAGAAAGGAAAAAGAUGGUGAUGGGUACUGUAUAUCUGCCUCAUGCCUUCAGAGUCACAGCCCACAAGCUAAUGGCACUCAGCCCUGGGGAUGCAAAAGUGCCCCAGGCAAGCUGUGCUCCUACAUCCUUGGCAAAGGGAUUGCUGCUGCAGCCAGGAUCCGGCAUGGCUCCUUCACCUACCAUUCCAGAGUCACUGAAUUUUUUUGUAGACUAGAAAGUGAGCAAGACAAAAAGAGUUUUGCCCUUGGUUAAGGGCACAUUUUCUGGCAAAUUUGGUAAAUAGCUGAAUAUUCUGGCAUCCCCAUAGUCUGACAAAAUUCCUCUUCUGAAUGCCUCAAGAAGAAACAAAUCUGAAUUUCCUCCAGUUUAGCAAAAGGCUGUGCUGGUCAACGGGAAUCUGCCACCUCCUGAAUCCCCCCUCUGGAGGUCAGGCGGCACAGCAGCUGCAGCCUUAAGCUGCUCUCCCUCCGGCAGCAAGCGGUCAAGUUCUGCUGUUGGCCUGUGAGAGCCUACAGUGUCCACAGAGUUAACAUUAGACUGGAGCGGCCCAGCCCUCAGCGGGCAGGAGCACUGGGAACUCAGGCCUCCUUUUCAAGGCCAGGAUGAAUGGGAAAUAUGCAAAUGGCCGCCUCCCAGGAGCGGCAGGGGAGGGCCUGCUGCUGGCAGGAGGGCAUCACUCCACUUGGGUCUGUCACAUGAAAGGGUUUGUAUUCCUGCCGCUGGCCGGCUCCUGGCCAGGCUGGGGCUGUUCUCACCAGAAAACAAAAAUGUCUUUCAGACCAAAGCAAAACGAGGCCCCAGCUGGCCCAGGCAGGCCAUUGGGCGUUGUUCACACUGACCCACUAUGAACACCAAUCACUGGGGCUCUCACUUUGCACCCACUGGAAGGAACCCAUCAUCUUUGGAGACGGAACUGGAGGCCUCGGUGGCUGCUGAGGAAAGCACUACGCCCCAAGAUUCACAUGAAUUAGGAGCUACACAAAGGAAGUAGGCCCAGGAAUAACCACACCUACCACGGAUCUCCCGAGGCAGCCGAGCAAAUGAUGAGGAACCACCCCUGGGCAUCCUGAAGGACAACCCCAAGGGCUCAAAGCAGCAUCUCAUCCACAGCACUCCCCUAACCCCACCAAUCUGUGGACCCAGUGGAUGGUUAGUGGGAACUCUGGCGAGGCCAACGCAAGGAAUGGGAGCAUCACACCAGACCAUCCAGUGAGGUGAGGACCUUGACUGGGAAUUCCUCUCAUCUAUGCUUGGCAGAGUGGCCCAAGCUCCCAAUCUGUCAGGUGACUGGAACCUUGGAGCUCUAAGGAAGCAGCAGCCCUCAGAGAAGACUCUCUUCCACAAAACUGGUCACCCAGAAGCUGUGGGUUCACUAGUUGAUUCAUUCAUUCAUUCAACAAACACUUCUGGAGCACCUCCUUCUAUUCCAGGCUGCACUGGUUCUCAGCACACAGGGUUCUCCAGUGAAGGGUAACCUGGCCCUGCCUGCAAGGAGUUUACACCUGCUUUUCCCUACUGCUUCUAACAUAUUGGCAUCAUCCCCCACCUGGGCACAGAGCCUAGCAUCCUAGCAGGAGCACACUCAAAAUCUGUUGUUUACUGAUUGACUUGUGGUAAGGAAACAGCUUAUAAAACACAUUAUUAAAAUAAA